GCUGGUGGUCAAUGCAGGGCUGCUACUUAAAGCACACUGGCAUCUGCUGGCCAAAUAUAGGAAAAACUGGGAUUUAUUUACAGGUUAUGUUUUUCUAGAGCCUAAAAAAUAUGUGGAUUCCAUGGAGUAUUUAGUUUUAAUUUGACAAAACAAGCUUUCCCAGGCAGUAAUGUAAAUGUAAACACAUCUCCAUAAAGGGAGAGUUUGACUGAGACUCUUUGCCAAACUGCACCACCUGUCUUUGACAGUCAGAGGCUGAGAGAAGUUAAAACGCUGCUGCAGCCGUCUUCAGAGAGCAAAGCAAAGGCAACAGACAGCAUUUAGUUUGGGGGGAAAGAAGAUAGUAUAAAUACCUUGAACUUUAAAAAAAAUGAGCACUGUGACAGAUGUGAAAUGUGAGACACAAGACUCUGAGCAGAGAAAUGUCAAAGACCCAAAAGAGGAGGAAGAGUGCACAUGUGCAACGGAGAGUUCACACAGGACGAGGAGUACGUGGGACACCCCAUCUCUCCAGGAGCUGGAGGAGCUUUUACACUCGGCUCCACGCUCCUGUCGCCAUGGAGAUGAGGUGUGGCCAAACCUGUACCUGGGAGACAUGUUUAUGUCUCAUGACAAGCUCGGACUCUGGCAGCUGGGCGUCACUCAUGUGCUGAAUGCUGCACACGGAAAACUCUGCUGUAAAGGCAGCGAUGAUUUCUAUGGAACCACAGUAAAAUACUACGGAGUGCCUGCCAAUGACCUGCCGACGUUUGACCUUUCACCUUUCUUCUACCCUGCCGCUGAAUUCAUUCAACAGGCUCUGACAUCAGGAGGAAAGGUGUUGGUGCACUGUGCUGUGGGUGUGAGUCGCUCUGCUGCUCUGGUCCUAGCCUACCUGAUGAUUCAUCAUCACCUCAGUCUUCUGUCCUCUAUACGCUGUGUGCAACAGAAACGCUGGGUUUUCCCCAACAGAGGCUUCCUGCGACAACUUAUUAGCCUAGACAGAAAACUGCAGAGAGAAGGGUUGACUGAGCCAAAAUAAAACAAAGCAAGGAGCAAUCCCAUCUAGUGAAUGCAUAGGAGAAUAGUCCUUGAGUUGCGACAGAGAGAGUUUUUCUCCCCGAGGAGCUUUGGCAUCACUGACCAGAACAAUCAAUGCAACAGC
Molecule: RNA transcript, 1144 nt
Organism: Thunnus maccoyii (southern bluefin tuna)
Lineage: Eukaryota; Metazoa; Chordata; Actinopteri; Scombriformes; Scombridae
Gene name: dual specificity protein phosphatase 13-like
Exons: 4
Source: RefSeq, a predicted model, not a curated record